Molecule: long non-coding RNA, 1268 nt
Organism: Lycium ferocissimum
Lineage: Eukaryota; Viridiplantae; Streptophyta; Magnoliopsida; Solanales; Solanaceae
Exons: 2
Source: RefSeq, a predicted model, not a curated record
UCAUCCUCGAUAAUAUGAUAAACAGGCUUUCCAAUUGGAAACUAAAUUUUCUAAGUACUGCAGGAAGAAUCACUCUCAUCAAAUCUACUUUAAGUGGUCUUCCAGCACAUGCUAUGCAAUAUUUUCACUUGCCAAAAAAGACUUGUAAGGCUAUUGAUAGAGUUCAAAUGGACUUUCUAUGGGGAGCACAACCCAAAAAAAGAAGAUGCAUCUUAUAAAGUGCAUAACAUUACAAUUCCUAAGGAUAGAGGAGGAUUAAAUCUCUGUAACGCUCAUCAUAAAAACCUCUCUCUCCUUGCUAGCCUAGCCUGGAGACUGUACACUAACAGAGAUGCUCUUUGGGCCAAAACUCUUAUAAAUAAGUAUGGACUAAAGCCCAAUAGCCCUUCUAAUUCCUUUAUUUGGCAGAAUAUUUUGGCAGGCGGCAAACUCUGCUCCAAAGCAGUUGCUUGGGACCCAGGUAAGGGGAACACCAUUAGUGUAUGGGACCAUAGUUGGAUACCCACAUCACCCCACCUUAAGAAGCUUGAUUCAUGGACCACUCACAAUUGCAGAAUCCAAGCUGAAGCUAUCUCAUUUUUGGAGUGGGGAGGAGUGGAAUUGGAAUGCCCUUUCCUCUGUAAUCUCUGAGGAAUUAAUCCAUAAAGCAUCCCUAGUAUCCGUACAACUGGAUAAAUCAGAUACCUGUUUCUGGUCCUUAAAUGCCAAUGUUCUAUUUACUACCCAAAAAUCCAAUUCUUUAACUGUCUUGAAGUUGCUUAGGACAGAUAGUGAUACUACCUAGUUUUCCUUUAACUGGGUUUGGUCCUUACACACUCCUCCAAAAAUCCAAUUCUUUCUUUGGCUUUGAUCUCAUAAUAGGCUUCCCACAAAAUCAUAUUUACAUCAUCUUGGAAUCACUAUUGAUGUUUUUUGUGAGGUUGCUUAUGAGGAGAUUGGGGAAUCCAGUGGUACGACAUAACUUCCGGGAAGGAAACAAGUUAGCAGAUGGACUAGCCAAGCAUGGAGCAAGGAAGAAAGAGUUUGAAGGAGUCUCACUUUUUGUUAUCCCCCCUACUAAUAUAUCUAACCUUUUGGAUGCUGAUAAUAGAAGCAUAAUAUGUACUAAACUAGUAACGCAGUCUGUAUGUAAUAGUCUAGCUAUGUUAGGUAACUGUUGCGUCCUCACAGAUAGUGAGUAUGCAGAAAAUGAGUACGGCGGUACUACUGAUGUAAUUCUCUAAUAUUUAAGCAAUAUAUCGUUUUAACCAAAAAACAAUAUAUAUAAA